RNAcentral lists this long non-coding RNA (730 nucleotides) under Zostera marina. RNAcentral describes it as "long non-coding RNA (ZMAR_LNC003718)". Lineage: Eukaryota; Viridiplantae; Streptophyta; Magnoliopsida; Alismatales; Zosteraceae. The record is from RNAcentral.
CCUCCUUUAUUACUCAGUUCACAUCAUAUUCUGAGCAAAGAUAUGUAUGCAUAACUGUGUACACUGAAACACAUGAUAUAAAAAAUGAUCCCAAUUAAGGGAUAGUUUUUUUUACAUAUUUUGUAGAAAUAAGUUGUAGCAAGCUUUUUGACGCGGCCAGGCGACCAGGCGAUGCCUGGGACCGCAUACCGCAUAUGCGACCGCCUGGUCGCAUAUGCGGUCCAAUAUGCGACAUUUAUUUUUAUUUUUUUCAAUAUACCCGAAUUCCCGAUUUAAUUUAACACUUCACCGACUGGAACACUCUGAAUUCCAGAUUUAAUUCCAGAUGUUAGGUAUUUCAAAUAUCUAACUAUGAAAAUUCCAGAUUUAAAGAAUAAAGAGAGAAACUGGAUGUGAUUUAUAAGGUCCUUUCUCAAUUCGAUGAGCCCAUAGCUAUUACCUUAUUGUUUACAAGUUUAUAUCAAAAUAAAUAUCAAGGUGCAGAUGUGAUUAAAGACAUCGUCUUUGUAAAAUAACUUUAAGAUGCAUAUGUGUUAUGCAAAAUAAAGUACUGCCCACCGUUAGGUAUACCCAUCUGGAAACGCGAUUUCUACCUUGUAAUCGCGGAAGCAGCUAAAUAUGCGCGUCGCGGAAGCAGCUAAUCGCGGAAGCAGAGAUUCCUACCUUGUACCUUCGUCGAUCGUCGAUUUCCAGAGUGGGUUCCGCGAUUUAGGAUUUAGGAGGAUUUAGG